Molecule: long non-coding RNA, 1474 nt
Organism: Gallus gallus (chicken)
Lineage: Eukaryota; Metazoa; Chordata; Aves; Galliformes; Phasianidae
Source: Ensembl
GGAACAUCUGCUACAGCUUUAGAUGGUUUUGCCUUUAGCUACUGCUGAAAAACUUCAGGCUCUGCAUUCCACAUCCUUCUCCCUUGGCCUUUGACACCAGCAGCUGCUGAGCAGAAGAUGUAAAUUGCAAUACCUACAGAACGGGAAGGACAUUAUUUUCCAAAGGGAUAUUGGGAUACUUAAUGGACGUUUCUCUUUCCAUGUUCUGAUCACAAGGAACACUGGAUAGCAGACACUGCAGAUGGAGUUAUCUCCUCAAGGUCAACCACUUCCUAAUUUAUAAUUCUUUUUUUUUCUAAUGCUGUGUUUUCCUUUGCAAAACUGCUUUGUUUUGUUUUGCUCUGUUUUAAACACCAAAAACAAUUGCACCUUAUACUGAAUAGUAAUUAUAAUCAUCAGCAGCAUUGUAAGGAAACCAUGUGCUUCCCUGAAUCAGAAGUGGGGCUCCCAGCCCAGGCAAUCUGUCUUCUUGUGGAAGAACAGCAUUUCUAUAGCACGGGCAGAUCAGGAACAGAGUUACACAAAAAUAAAUAUCAAAGGACUGACAGCCAGCUAUUCCUUUGUGUAAAGAAAGAGCUGCAGAACACUAUUUUCUAAAAAUGGGCUCAGCCAAACAGUGCAGAUUCUCCACCUGUGCUCAGAUAGCUCAGCAGUUCCACCUACAUCAUAUUUUUGUUUGCGUGAAAAAACAGAAACAGAAUGACUGACAGCAUUACAUUUCUUAGAGCACUGAGGCCCAUGUACUGUAAAUGCAUCUUUGGAACUUCCUCAGAAAUCAUAUGUUUCCUAAGGAAAUUACAACAGUUGUGAUGAAAUCACAUUCAUCCGUAUAUGGCAGAAGCUUUGGGUCUGACACGAGGAAAUGAGAAUGGUUUCAGAGUGACAACCAGAAAGAUGAAGACACUACUCCAGUGUUCCAUGGAUGCUGCUUUGCCAGAAAAUAAAUGAAAUACUAGGAUGACUUCAAACAUUUUCAGGAACCAUGCUGACACUCAAAAUAAGGAAACAUCAAGUAACUUUCCUAGUGAGAUCAUAAAAGCAGCGACACUGAUCAAAGCACCAAAAUGCAAGGCGGUUACUUCAUCCCUAGCACAAGAUGCUGCCUCAUAUCUAGGACCAGGAGCUUGCUUGGCAGAGAUAUUCAAACAUUCUUUAAGUAGAGCAUAUCACGUAGUAUAUUUAAAUAGUUAAACAUGGAAAAAUCCACAAAGAUAGUCGAUUUAAACCCUUGAGACUGGUGAAUGACUGUCUUGGGUUAUUAUUGCUUAACAGUAAUAGCAGUAGCUUUUGGUACAGCCCUACCAUAAUCCUAUGUACUCCAUGCACACAGAACAACGGAUUGCAUUUCUUCUGAAAAGUAUACCCUCAGAUUAGUAGGGAAAAACAAAAUGUAAACUACACAAUUAAUUGGUACGAGUGGCAGAUAUCUUCACAACUGUGAUUUUGGAGGGGUUGGUUGUAUUAAAACAACAAC